CUACGGGGGGCAGCAGUGGGGAAUAUUGGACAAUGGGGGAAACCCUGAUCCAGCAAUGCCGCGUGUGUGAAGAAGGCCUGCGGGUUGUAAAGCACUUUCGGUUGGGAGGACUGCUUCUAGCACUAAUAUUGUUGGAAGUUGACGUUACCUUCAGAAGAAGAACCGGCUAACUCCGUGCCAGCAGCCGCGGAAAUACGGAGGGUGCAAGCGUUAAUCGGAAUUACUGGGCGUAAAGCGCGCGUAGGCGGCUAGAUCAGUCGGGUGUGAAAGCCCCGGGCUUAACCUGGGAACUGCAUCCGAUACUGUCUAGCUUGAGUACAGGAGAGGAGAGUGGAAUUCCACAUGUAGCGGUGAAAUGCGUAGAUAUGUGGAGGAACACCAAUGGCGAAGGCAGCUCUCUGGCCUGAUACUGACGCUGAGGUGCGAAAGCGUGGGGAGCAAACAGGAUUAGAUACCCGCGUAGUC
Molecule: ribosomal RNA, 465 nt
Filed under: uncultured bacterium
Lineage: Bacteria
Description: partial 16S ribosomal RNA
Rfam family: Bacterial small subunit ribosomal RNA
Source: RNAcentral